This 206-nucleotide ribosomal RNA is filed under the name uncultured bacterium. Its description in RNAcentral is "partial 16S ribosomal RNA". It matches the Rfam family "Bacterial small subunit ribosomal RNA", at positions 568 to 774 of the family's 1533-position model. The record is from RNAcentral.
GGAGCAGGCGGCCGCAAGGGUCUGUGGUGAAAGAUCGAAGCUAAACUUCGGUAAGCCAUGGAAACCGGGCGGCUAGAGUGCGGAAGAGGAUCGUGGAAUUCCAUGUGUAGCGGUGAAAUGCGUAGAUAUAUGGAGGAACACCAGUGGCGAAGGCGACGGUCUGGGCCGCAACUGACGCUCAUUCCCGAAAGCGUGGGGAGCAAAUA